Molecule: long non-coding RNA, 1881 nt
Filed under: Canis lupus familiaris (dog)
Lineage: Eukaryota; Metazoa; Chordata; Mammalia; Carnivora; Canidae
Description: lncRNA (ENSCAFG00000051576.1)
Source: RNAcentral
CCAUCUGUCUGUGUAUCUUUCUGUAUUUGGCUGUGCACAUUUGUAUUUCUGUGAUUCUAUGCCUGUGGUUCUAUGCACGUGGAAGUGUGUGCAUUUGUGUGUGCAGCACACAAACACCUGUGCACCCCAGAUCUUUUAGAUCUCUUUCUGGUAAUCUCUACAUCUGCUUUUAUACUGUAUAGUCAUUAGAGGGAGCUCAAGAAUUUCCAUUUUCUCUUGAUGAGGCUAAGAAAAAGGUGCAUUAAAAGUCACUGAAGGGGGCACUUGAUGGGAUGAGCACUGGGUGUUAUUCUGCAUGUUGGCAAAUUGAACACCAAUAAAAAUAAAUUUAUUUAAAAAACUAAAUUAAAGUCACAGCUUCCUUUGAAAAUGUGGAAGUGUGUUUAUUUGUGCGUGCUUUUAUAAGUAUUUGAGUCUCUGUGUUUUCAUACAUAUAAACCUCUGCAUAUGUCCCCGUGACUGUGCAUGUGCCCGUGUUUCUGCUUGCAGACUAAGUCCACGUAUGCAGCUAUAUGCCUAUGAUGGCAGAUGCAUGUGUGUGUGUGCACUCCUAUACUUGAUGUACAUCUAGGAUUGAGUGCCACAGGGGCAUAGGGGUACAUUUGUAGAUCAUUUGUGUAUGUACAUCUGUGCCGAUGUGUAUAUGUGCUGAUGUGUACAUGUCUGUGCCUCCGUAUGCCUAUAGAUAUGUCUAUUUUUUUUAAAAAAAUAGACCAUGUUCAGGUCUGUGUUGUCUGUAGAUACCACGUGGCUUGUCUCUUAUGUUAUAUGCUGAGGAUGUUGUGUAUUUCUGGCAGGUACACCUGGCAUCUGAGUGUGCAUCUCCAUGUGCAUUUAUAUGUCUGUAUACGUGAGUGCUUUUAUGGAGUUGUGUGUGCGUGUGCCCCUAAGAGAGGUUUGGAGUGUGUCACCACCUGAGUAGGUGAAAUCUUGUCUUUUUUGGAGGCAGUACUCACGUCUAUGUAUACAUAUGUAAGUCCGCGGAACCGUACCUGUAUUCCUAUGUAUAUGUUUCUGCAUGAGUCCAUGUGUAUAAGUAGCAUCUAUGUCUAUGCAGAAAUGUUUAGUCCUCACGUUUGCUGCCUGCAACUAUUCAUCUGUGUGAGUAUUUGCACGUCUGCAUGUCUGUGUGUCAACUGAUAUGUCUGUACCUAUACAUUCUUGCUGUAAGCCUCUUUAUCCAUGUCUAGGCGCUUCUAUAUUCACAUGUACAAGCCUCAGCAUUCACCCAUCUGUUUGUCCACCUCUGUCGGCCUGUGUAAGUCUGUGUAACCAUCUGCGUGUCCACAGGGGCACGUGUGAGUGCAUCUGCCUCAAUCUGUAUACGUGAGAAUGAAUUUUUUUGGAUGACUCUGGGUGAAUGCGUAUGUGCCUGUGUGCAGAUGUUUAUGCUGCUGCCUAACAUAAGGACUCUGCAUGCAGGAGAAUUUUGCAUGUCUGCAUGUACUUGUCUGUGUGCACGCUUCUGUGCUACGCAUACUCAUCUGUUCGUGUGCAUACACAGGAGAACCCAUAUAAGCAUCUGUGUGGCGGGAUGUCUGGAAGGUAUGCUGGGUUCUGCUAGUGUGUGCCUGCAUUUCUGUGACUAUGCACAGAGGUCAAUGCACAUGCACACUUCUGUGUGUAUCCGUGCACCUCCUGGUUGGUUCAGGUGUAUGUCUGUGGGCCUCUGUGUCUACCUGUACAUCCUUGUGGGCCUCCACAUCUACCUGCACGGGUAGAAAUCUGUAUGUGUGUUUCUGCCUGCAUCUGCUCGAGCUUCUGCAGCUGUCUCUUUGUGACUCUAUGUGCGUGUGGGUCUGUGUACAUCUCUGCCUCUGUGUCCAUGCCUGCAUUCCUGUGAAUGUCCCUGUGCUUCUCUAUGGGUAGGGGACUCUGCGU